RNAcentral lists this ribosomal RNA (402 nucleotides) under uncultured bacterium. RNAcentral describes it as "bacterial SSU rRNA". It matches the Rfam family "Bacterial small subunit ribosomal RNA", at positions 355 to 774 of the family's 1533-position model. The record is from RNAcentral.
UGGGGAAUAUUGCACAAUGGGCGAAAGCCUGAUGCAGCAACGCCGCGUGAGUGAUGAAGGCCUUCGGGUUGUAAAGCUCUGUCUUCUGGGACGAUAAUGACGGUACCAGAGGAGGAAGCCACGGCUAACUACGUGCCAGCAGCCGCGGUAAUACGUAGGUGGCAAGCGUUGUCCGGAUUUACUGGGCGUAAAGGAUGCGUAGGCGGAUACUUAAGUCAGAUGUGAAAAUCCCGGGCUUAACUUGGGAACUGCACUUGAAACUGGGUAUCUAGAGUGCGGGAGAGGAAAGUGGAAUUCCUAGUGUAGCGGUGAAAUGCGUAGAGAUUAGGAAGAACACCUGUGGCGAAGGCGACUUUCUGGACCGUAACUGACGCUGAGGCAUGAAAGCGUGGGGAGCAAACA